ACUGUUACGUUUCGGCUUUCAUCGUGUAAUGGCUGCGUCUUUCCGUUAAAAGAUAUUUUAACUAAAUAUCAAGAAAAAUAAAUAAAAAAAAAACAAAUUAUCUGUAUAGAGACUUUUUAAAGUUAUUCUUUAAAAUCAAUCAAUAAACUUUAUAAUAAUAAUAAUAGUGUUUUAAUCAUAUCAAAGGUGUGGUGUACAACGCCUAAAUCACCAAAAUGAGUUAUAUGCCAGCACAAAAUCGUACAAUGUCUCAUAACAAUCAAUACAAUCCACCGGAUUUGCCGCCGAUGGUUUCCUCCAAGGAGCAAACACUUAUGUGGCAGCAAAAUUCGUAUUUAGUGGAUUCUGGUAUUCAUUCGGGUGCCGUUACACAGGCACCUUCCCUCUCGGGCAAAGAAGAUGAGGAAAUGGACGGCGAUCCACUUAUGUUUGAUUUAGAUACUGGUUUUCCACAGAAUUUCACCCAAGAACAGGUGGAUGACAUGAAUAGCCAGUUGAGCCAGACGCGUUCACAGCGCAUACGCGCUGCCAUGUUCCCCGAAACAUUGGAAGAGGGUAUUGAAAUACCUUCGACCCAGUUUGAUCCACAACAACCAACAGCUGUACAACGUUUGGCCGAACCGUCGCAAAUGUUAAAACAUGCCGUUGUCAAUCUAAUCAAUUAUCAAGAUGACGCUGAGCUGGCAACACGCGCAAUACCAGAAUUGAUAAAAUUGCUCAAUGAUGAAGAUCAAGUUGUCGUUUCCCAAGCCGCCAUGAUGGUACACCAGUUGUCGAAAAAAGAAGCUUCGCGCCAUGCUAUUAUGAAUAGUCCACAGAUGGUGGCAGCUCUCGUACGCGCCAUUUCGAAUAGUAACGAUUUGGAGAGUACUAAAGCUGCUGUUGGCACUCUUCAUAAUUUGUCACAUCAUCGACAAGGUCUCUUGGCUAUAUUCAAGAGCGGUGGUAUACCAGCUUUGGUGAAACUAUUGUCUUCUCCGGUUGAGAGUGUUUUAUUCUAUGCCAUCACCACCCUACACAAUUUGUUAUUGCAUCAGGAUGGUUCUAAAAUGGCAGUUCGCUUAGCUGGUGGUCUCCAGAAAAUGGUUACCUUGUUGCAGCGUAAUAACGUCAAGUUCUUGGCCAUCGUUACAGAUUGUUUACAGAUUCUUGCCUACGGCAAUCAAGAGAGUAAAUUAAUAAUUUUGGCUUCUGGUGGCCCUAAUGAAUUGGUGCGCAUUAUGCGCUCCUACGACUACGAGAAGUUGUUGUGGACCACUUCACGUGUUUUAAAAGUCCUCUCAGUAUGUUCUAGCAAUAAGCCAGCCAUUGUAGAUGCUGGUGGCAUGCAGGCCCUCGCUAUGCACUUGGGCAAUCCAUCGCCCCGUUUGGUGCAGAACUGUUUGUGGACUUUGCGUAAUUUGUCCGAUGCUGCCACUAAAGUUGAUGGCAUGGAGGCUCUUUUGCAAUCCUUGGUCCAAGUAUUGGCAUCCACAGAUGUUAAUGUCGUCACUUGUGCAGCUGGCAUACUCUCUAAUUUGACAUGUAACAAUCAGCGUAAUAAGGCUACAGUUUGUCAAGUCGGUGGUGUUGAUGCUUUGGUACGUACGAUUAUAAAUGCUGGCGAUCGUGAGGAAAUCACUGAACCAGCCGUCUGUGCUCUACGUCAUUUGACAACACGUCAUGCUGACUCGGAAAUGGCUCAAAACGCCGUACGUUUGAAUUAUGGUCUCUCGGUGAUUGUAAAACUUUUACAUCCACCAUCCCGUUGGCCAUUAAUUAAGGCCGCCAUAGGUCUGGUACGCAAUCUGGCUUUGUGUCCAGCUAAUGCAGCUCCAUUGCGUGAACAUGGAGCCAUACAUCAUUUAGUACGUCUAUUAAUGCGUGCUUUCCAAGAUACCGAACGUCAACGUUCUUCUGUGGCCACUACUGGCUCACAACAGCCUUCGGCCUAUGCAGAUGGUGUUCGUAUGGAGGAAAUUGUUGAGGGCACUGUGGGUGCAUUACACAUUUUAGCUCGAGAGUCUCACAAUCGCGCUUUGAUUCGUCAACAGUCGGUAAUACCGAUAUUUGUACGUCUGCUAUUUAAUGAAAUAGAAAAUAUACAGCGCGUUGCCGCUGGAGUUCUUUGUGAAUUGGCCGCAGACAAAGAAGGAGCCGAAAUAAUUGAACAAGAAGGAGCCACUGGCCCCUUAACUGAUUUAUUGCAUUCACGCAAUGAAGGCGUUGCUACUUAUGCCGCCGCUGUUCUAUUCCGUAUGAGCGAGGAUAAGCCGCAAGAUUACAAAAAACGUCUCUCUAUUGAGCUGACCAAUUCACUUUUACGUGAAGACAACAACAUAUGGGGAAAUGCCGAUCUAGGCAUGGGUCCAGAUUUACAGGAUAUGCUUGGUCCAGAGCAAGCAUAUGAAGGCCUCUAUGGUCAGGGGCCACCGAGCGUACACAGCUCCCAUGGCGGUCGUGCAUUCCAACAAGUUGAGCCAGCCUAACAUAUAUCAUCAUUGAAUGCAAAUUUAAACUCCGAAUUUAUUUAAAAAAAAGAAAACGGAAGAAUUUUAUUAACUAACCACAAAAAAUCAAGUAUUUAACAACUUUAAUAAAAAAAAUAGAUGUUUUUCGAACCAAAUUAAAAAAAAAAAAAAACACAACGAGAGAGUAGUGCAUUCAAAAUAAGAAUUUUGCAAAAAGCCCAGUGUACACAUUAAAAUAUAUACAAAAAUAUGAUAUAUACGCAAUUAACGAAAACAAUAUUUAAUAGUUAUCCUAAACCUUCUUCUAUUUCAACUGAAUUAUGCUCAAAAAAAAAUGUUUGUUGUCCUGCAAAAUCUCACUUAAUACUUGUAGCAGGAUAUGAUACUUUACCAAUAGACUCUAUGCAGGGUCUUGAAAUCAGCAGUCCCGUAGGAGGCGGCGGCGGUGGUGGUGCCCCACCAAGUGCUGCACCAACUUCACCCUAUUCCAUGGAUAUGGAUGUUGGUGAAAUUGAUGCUGGCGCAUUGAAUUUUGAUUUGGAUGCCAUGCCAACACCACCCAAUGACAACAACAAUUUAGCUGCUUGGUAUGAUACCGAUUGUUAAACCGCAGAAGAAUUUAAAGAAAAAGUGGAAAGUAAAAUAACACUGCAUUUGAAAACAAAAAAUCAAAAUACAAAAUAUACAUUACAACUAAAUGUAGCUAUUUAAAUAUUUAAGAAAAUAAUAACAACAACAUAUAAAAAGGGAAACACCACACCACACCACAACACAUCUUUUUGGAAACAUAAACAAAUAUAAAAACGUCUUCUAAGGGCUGUUGCAGCUGCUGUUUGAUUUAAGAAAAAAAAAAUUAUAUACAACAAAAAACAAUUUAUAACAUAUUUAGCAUAUACAUAUAAAGAAAACAUGGAAAAAAUAACAAUUUUUACGAAUAUUUCUUAUAAUUAAUAACACUUACCUUACGUAAAAUGUAAUGACAACACUUUUAUUUUUUUUUUGUUUUAAAAUUUAUAUUUUUUAAACUUUUUUUAUUCUCUCGUUUAAUGAAAGUUUUUUUAAGCACUCUUAACAUUUUUUUAUCAUUACUAUUUUAUAUGACGAAAAGCAAAUAUGAAAGAAAAUAAGAAAAAACAAAAAUACCCCAAUUUUUUUUAGUAGUAUUAAAAUAUAAUAAACAAAAUUCCGUAUGCA
Molecule: RNA transcript, 3644 nt
Organism: Lucilia sericata (common green bottle fly)
Lineage: Eukaryota; Metazoa; Arthropoda; Insecta; Diptera; Calliphoridae
Gene: arm
Gene name: armadillo segment polarity protein
Exons: 8
Source: RefSeq, a predicted model, not a curated record